GACGAACGCUGGCGGCGUGCUUAACACAUGCAAGUCGAGCGGUAAGGCCCUUUCGGGGGUACACGAGCGGCGAACGGGUGAGUAACACGUGGGUGACCUGCCCUCAGCUCUGGGAUAAGCCUGGGAAACCGGGUCUAAUACCGGAUAUGACUCCAUGACGCAUGUUGUGGGUGGAAAGCCUUGUGCGGCUGAGGAUGGGCCCGCGGCCUAUCAGCUUGUUGGUGGGGUGAUGGCCUACCAAGGCGACGACGGGUAGCCGGCCCGAGAGGGCGACCGGCCACACUGGGACUGAGACACGGCCCAGACUCCUACGGGAGGCAGCAGUGGGGAAUCUUGCGCAAUGGGCGAAAGCCUGACGCAGCGACGCCGCGUGAGGGAUGACGGCCU
RNAcentral lists this ribosomal RNA (387 nucleotides) under uncultured bacterium. Its description in RNAcentral is "bacterial SSU rRNA". It matches the Rfam family "Bacterial small subunit ribosomal RNA", at positions 28 to 417 of the family's 1533-position model. The record is from RNAcentral.